UCCAUCUCCUGACAGCCUUUCGCACCGAUCUCUGCGUCUCUGUUGUUCUACGUCGUUCACGUCCUCCUCCUCCGCCUCCUACUCCUCGUGAUCGUUACUACGCCACCCGAUAUCCGUGGUCUUUCUCUCUUCGAGCGCAAACUUUCCCUUUUUGACACAUUGAAGAAUGGCGGGUAACGGCGUACCAGUGUUAUUGGUCACUGCGAAUGUUGGCAGUAUCUUCGAGGAGCCUAACACGAUGUUGAAAAUUUGGACGGAAGAAUUUUUAUCUACUAUACUGAGGCUGGAUCCAAAAUUUAUUGCACUGCACUGCCAAGAAGUAGGUGGAAAAAAUUAUGAGCACAGCACCAGGCAGGUGGAAGACUUUGUUAGGUUACUAAUGUCAUCAGAAGAAUUAAGGCUAUUUGACAAAAUUAGAGUGUUCUUGGAUGAGGAUUACUCAUCUGCUGAGCAUUUUACGGCACUUGGAAAUUUUUAUUUUGUGCAUGAAUCUUUGAAAGAAGUUUUAUUAUGGGACUUCCAAGAAUGUACUUUUAUACCAGUGAACGGAAAGGAGGUUCAUUCUGGUAAUAUAGAAGCAGUCACGACCAAAGAAAAAGCAAAGUUCCCUCAGGAAUUCUUUCCAGAAUGUAAAUGGUCCAGAAAAGGAUUUCUGAGAACACGAUGGAGUAUUAGCGGAACAGUUUUUGAUCUCAUAAACAUACAUUUAUUUCAUGACGCCAGUAAUUUCAUUGCUAUGGAAACGUUUCCAUCUGUAUACAGUAAGACGCGUAGGAGAGCGCUCGAGCAUACGUUAGAUAGGUUUCAUAACGAUAAAUAUGCAAAUGUACCAUACUUUUUAUUUGGAGACUUUAAUUUUAGAACGGACACAGCCGGGGUAAUCAAAAAACUCACGGAAGAUACUCAAGAAAGAAGGUUAUCAAACAAAGGAAGUAUUUCGAAAUUGCAGUUUCACAAUAAAGACGAUGAUCUCAUAUUAACAUUAGGAAAAAAGGAGUUUUCUCAUUACGAGCAUCAGAAUGUUUUUGUGCAAAAUAGUGGAGAGUGGCUACGUGAAUAUGACAGAGAGCUGGAAGACUUUGAUGGAAGAUUAUUUGAAUUUUCAAUUAAGUUCGUACCCAGUUAUCCAUUUGAGGAAGAUAUCAAUGAAGGUUCGAAUUAUAUGCAAACAAGAGUACCGGCUUGGUGCGAUCGUGUUCUGCUGAGUCCUACUGCUAAAAUGCUAGUCCAAGACAUAUCAUCGCCAGACGCUGUGGAAUAUGGAAUAAUUGGUCCAACAACUUGCAUGGGUGAUCAUAAGCCAGUCUACUUGAGGGCUAAUCUCAUUAUGGACGAAGGUAUGAUAAACUGCUGCAGCUUGCCGAGUGCACCUGAGUUUUGCUUUCGAGUGCCAAGCAAUUACGUGGAGUUGUUGUCCAUGUUGCCUGAUUACAGUAGUUACGUUAGCGGACGGGUCAAUUACACGGACCGUUCGGCUAACUUGUUGCACGCAGCACCUAUUAAGCAUGAUCCUUACACUCCGGAUAGCAUGGACAGCCCGAGUCCAAAUGCUAUAAUAUCAGCCUCGAGUGAUGUCCCAGACGUAGACGUAGAUAACAUGAACAGCGUGUCCACGUCGCAGUUCGCCCAGACGUCGAACUUGGCCAAACGUCUGAACAGAGCUGUAUCGCCUGCUCUCCUCAAAUCCAAGCUGGAGCUGAUUGUUCAGAGCAAAAAGCAAGAGGCGAUGGACGCGAAUCAAGACACGAGUGAUAUCAAAAGGAGCCCUAGCGAUUGCUGCUUACAUUCAUGGCCGAACGACGACGAGUGUAAAAACGAGUGGGCCGCAAGAACGAACAGAUGCAACAGCGAUGUGUCUUGGCAGCGAUCGCACCUCUUAACCGAGAUAUGGAUCCAGAGCAAAGGGCAACAUUCGUUUGGUGAUUUCAUCAACCGAUUGUCCAUGGAUUCGACUCCGCCGAACGAUGUCGAGGGUUUGCCGCCCGACUUGAUCAUACCAAGGAUAUCGAUAAUAAAUGCCAGUAAUUUCGAAUCAAACGAGAGUUCCGUGUACUUGCACGACGACAAGUACAGUGAUUAUUCGGAUAAGAAACUGAGCACCUACUCGGACGACCAGACAAAGAGCUUGAGCGGCGAGGCGUUCAGUUCAGAAAAAUCGGAUGAACUUUGCGAUAAGAUCGACGACGAGAGCAACAGACUGAGCUUAAAUACGAAGAGAAUAGAGAUAAAUGAAAGCAUAUAUUUGCAGAACAUAAGCGAGCUUAUAGGAAAAUCGGACAAGAAUCCCUGUGCAAUGAUGGUUAGUACAAAUCUUUUUAACGCAGGCAAUAAGACGAGCGAGGAACGAAUGCUCGAAGACAGAGAGAAACGAUUGAAUCAAGUUAUAAAUACGUUAGAUAGCACGGAGGAUAAUAAUAGUAAAAAUCAACGGGCACUGACGGAUGAUAAGACAAGUAUUAAAAAUAGAAAUAUAAUUUCGGAAACACUUCCGACAAACGAACGAACAUCUGAACUGUCGCAAGUUACUACGAAAGCAGAGCAAAGAACAGUUCGCCACGAAAGGAACGAAACAGAGGACAAAUUGGAAAACACGGAGACAGAGAAGAUAAAAUUUGAACAGGAUACGUGCAAUGAGACGAACGUUGAAGAUUUUGAACAAGUAGAAAUAUCAAAAUGUGAUAGCAAAUGUGAAAUGAUAAUUUCAAAGCAGGUAACGAAUAGCGAUUUUGUACAGAGUCAAAGUAGCAGCGAUAAUGCAUUGAAAGUAUGUAAAUCUGACGUAGAAAAUUGUAAGGACGAUGUUGUUGGAAAGGAGAAUAAGUGUCAGAAAUGUUGCUGCGUUAUAUCGUGAGAGGGAAACGCGAGUUUCACACAUGUUCCUUGUUAUAGUCAUCGUUCGCGAUUUUUCACCGAAUAACUAAACUAUCGCAAGAACGAGAUCGAAGAAGUCAUUUAUUAAGGUUCCACUUCGUAAGAGAUAAGAAGCAAGGAAAGAGCGGUGUUUUUGUUUCGGUCACUUAAAAUAUCCUGCUGACGCUCUAUCCGAUAGCAUCGAUUUUCUAUUGUACAUGCAUGUUUUCAUGUUCAAAGUGUCUUCUGCAUGUGCAUGAUACUCUAAUGUAACGUCGUAUGACGUCAAACUAUCUUUCUAGAGUAUAUUCGAACGAUAAAGUUACGUACUGUGUAUUUUCAUAUUUUAGACGCGCUGUUGAAUAAACAGUAUGUAUCAUUGUUGCGUAGUGGUACGUUACGUUAUGAUCUACAUUUUAACGAGUAAGAAUACCUAGAUGACUGUGUCAAUGUACGAUCUGUUAAGCAGUGUUACCAGUAUAUGUACUAGAUUCGUAAAACUCCCUGGUGAUCACGUUAUCCUAUUUCGUUAGUUUAUCAGAUAAGUUCUUCAAAUCGAGCAUGUAUCGAGCGUCGCUCGUUUACUUCGUAAGCUUUUGUUACAAUGACGGUUUUUUCUUUUUCUUUUUCGCUUAACUUUCGACCGUCUCAAUUUUAUCUCUUCGUUCGCGAAAACUCCAUACGUAGUAUGCAUUUUCAUUGAGACCGCGUACAAGAACAUGUGCUUCCACGUUGCACCGUAACCUUUGCCAAAUUCAAUGUAUCCUAUACGAUAGAAUGUUAGAAACGUACGUGUAGACGUGACACGCACGUAGUCCAUUAUUUGGGCUCGACUGCCAAAGUUACUUUCGUUUUAGUUAAUAGGAAGAAAGAUAUUAACUUAUACAGUAAAAGUGUUAGUCGUACGAUACGUAGUUUCCUUUACGUCACAUACAAUUAUUUAACAUUUUCUCUCCUGAUGAAACUAAGGUUCGUAACGUCUUUAAGAAAGAUUAGUGCCAAUGUUGUUUCAAUAUUAUUUAAUUGUAAAAUAAUUUGCAUACGAGUAUACUGAACAUAUCUGCUUCCUGUCUUGCCGAGAAAAAUUUUACGCAAUAUGAGAAACAGUCAUUUAAAACGUUCAUACGUAGUAAGAAAUAAUUUAUUUUGCCAAACGAAUUCCACACAUUUGGAUCUUGAUCGUAAUAAAUGCCGCAGAUUCGAAUAACCGAUAUAUCGUGCAUUUGUUUUCGGCUCCACUACGCUUACGACCUAGAAGAGACGUCUUAUUGACGUGACGAACGAGGAGUCCGAGUCGGGUACGAUGUCCAGCUUGAGCAGUCGUGAGAUAUUCAA
Molecule: RNA transcript, 4185 nt
Organism: Frieseomelitta varia
Lineage: Eukaryota; Metazoa; Arthropoda; Insecta; Hymenoptera; Apidae
Gene: 5PtaseI
Exons: 12
Source: RefSeq, a predicted model, not a curated record